RNAcentral lists this unclassified non-coding RNA (216 nucleotides) under uncultured fungus. RNAcentral's name for it is "sequence contains ITS1, 5.8S rRNA gene". Lineage: Eukaryota; Fungi. The record is from RNAcentral.
UUGAUUCAUUUUGAAUUUUUGCUCAGAGCUGUAAGAAAUAACGUCCGCGAGGGGACUACAGAAAGAGUUUGGUUGGUUCCUCCGGCGGGCGCCUGGUUCCGGGGCUGCGACGCACCCGGGGCGUGACCCCACCGAGGCAACAGUUUGGUAACGUUCACAUUGGGUUUGGGAGUUGUAAACUCGGUAAUGAUCCCUCCGCUGGUUCACCAACGGAGA